Molecule: unclassified non-coding RNA, 379 nt
Filed under: soil metagenome
Description: partial contains small subunit ribosomal RNA, internal transcribed spacer 1, and 5.8S ribosomal RNA
Source: RNAcentral
UUUCCGUAGGUGAACCUGCGGAAGGAUCAUUAUCAUCCUUGGAUUCUCUUUUCACGUACUUCCGUGAUCAGAGCAAUCUAUCUACCAACCGUGAACUGUUUCUCACCUCCGAUUCAUAAGAGCUCCCUCAUUGCUUUUCGUUGGCCCGAGAGGAGAAAACGAGCAGUGGCGGGAAUCGCAGCAGUGUUCUGUUGCGGUAUUAUGGAUUGGUUGUAUCUUUUUGACCUCUCAACAUUUACCUUUUGAACAAAAACCUUUUCAAUCUUUGUAUUGAACUGACUCUUGUGUUUUCUUCCUUUCGUUGAAUAAACGAGGAAAAAACAUAAAAAGUUGUACGAAACAAAACGAACAACUCUUAGCAACGGAUAUCUUGGCUCUC